This 400-nucleotide ribosomal RNA is filed under the name uncultured bacterium. RNAcentral describes it as "bacterial SSU rRNA". It matches the Rfam family "Bacterial small subunit ribosomal RNA", at positions 355 to 747 of the family's 1533-position model. The record is from RNAcentral.
UGGGGAAUUUUGGACAAUGGGGGAAACCCUGAUCCAGCAAUGCCGCGUGUGUGAAGAAGGCCUUCGGGUUGUAAAGCACUUUUGUUCGGGAAGAAAGCUCUUGUGUUAAUACCAUAAGUGAAUGACGGUACCGAAAGAAUAAGGACCGGCUAACUACGUGCCAGCAGCCGCGGUAAUACGUAGGGUCCUAGCGUUAAUCGGAAUUACUGGGCGUAAAGAGUGCGCAGGCGGUUAUGUAAGACAGAUGUGAAAUCCCUGAGCUUAACUUAGGAACUGCAUUUGUGACUGCAUGACUAGAGUGUGUCAGAGGGGGGUAGAAUUCCACGUGUAGCAGUGAAAUGCGUAGAUAUGUGGAGGAAUACCAAUGGCGAAGGCAACCCCCUGGGAUAACACUGACGCU